UGCAGUUCGAGGGGCAGCAUGAACAAUAUCAAUAUUGUUUGAUGGCGACCGCCCGCACGGGUGCGCUAACACGAUAUGUAAUCUGCCUUAUACUGGGGCAUAACUCCGAGAAAUCGGUGCUAAUUCCCCAUAACACUGCGAAGUGGCAUCACUUUGCAGUUAAAGCUCCGGCGGUAUAAGAUGAACAUGCGUCCAAUUAGUUAGUUGGUGAGGUAACGGCUCACCAAGACUCCGAUUGGUAGGGGUUCUGAGAGGAUGAUCCCCCACACUGGUACUGAGACACGGACCAGACUCCUACGGGAGGCAGCAGUGAGGAAUAUUGCGCAAUGGACGAAAGUCUGACGCAGCCAUGCCGCGUGAAGGAUUGAAGGCCCUAUGGGUUGUAAACUUCUUUUGUACGGGAAAAAACGCUUCUAUGUAUAGGAGCCUGAUGGUACCGUAAGAAUAAGCACCGGCUAACUCCGUGCCAGCAGCCGCGGUAAUACGGAGGGUGCAAGCGUUAUCCGGAUUUAUUGGGUUUAAAGGGUCCGUAGGCGGACUAAUAAGUCAGUGGUGAAAAGCCCCUUGCUCAACAAGGGAACUGCCAUUGAUACUGUUAGUUCUCGAGUACAAGUGA
RNAcentral lists this ribosomal RNA (616 nucleotides) under uncultured bacterium. RNAcentral's name for it is "bacterial SSU rRNA". It matches the Rfam family "Bacterial small subunit ribosomal RNA", at positions 56 to 655 of the family's 1533-position model. The record is from RNAcentral.